ACACAUGCAAGUCGAGGGGCAGCAUGAUUGAAGCUUGCUUCAAUUGAUGGCGACCGGCGCACGGGUGAGUAACGCGUAUCCAACCUUCCGUACACUCAGGGAUAGCCUUUCGAAAGAAAGAUUAAUACCCGAUGGUAUGAUGAGAUUGCAUGAUAGCAUCAUUAAAGAUUUAUCGGUGUACGAUGGGGAUGCGUUCCAUUAGGUAGUAGGCGGGGUAACGGCCCACCUAGCCGACGAUGGAUAGGGGUUCUGAGAGGAAGGUCCCCCACAUUGGAACUGAGACACGGUCCAAACUCCUACGGGAGGCAGCAGUGAGGAAUAUUGGUCAAUGGACGAGAGUCUGAACCAGCCAAGUAGCGUGAAGGAUGAAGGUCCUACGGAUUGUAAACUUCUUUUAUAAGGGAAUAAAACCUCCCACGUGUGGGAGCUUGUAUGUACCUUAUGAAUAAGCAUCGGCUAACUCCGUGCCAGCAGCCGCGGUAAUACGGAGGAUGCGAGCGUUAUCCGGAUUUAUUGGGUUUAAAGGGAGCGCAGACGGGUCGUUAAGUCAGCUGUGAAAGUUUGGGGCUCAACCUUAAAAUUGCAGUUGAUACUGGCGUCCUUGAGUGCGGUUGAGGUGUGCGGAAUUCGUGGUGUAGCGGUGAAAUGCUUAGAUAUCACGAAGAACUCCGAUUGCGAAGGCAGCACACUAAGCCGUAACUGACGUUCAUGCUCGAAAGUGUGGGUAUCAAACAGGGUU
Molecule: ribosomal RNA, 739 nt
Filed under: uncultured bacterium
Lineage: Bacteria
Description: bacterial SSU rRNA
Rfam family: Bacterial small subunit ribosomal RNA
Source: RNAcentral